GAUGAACGCUGGCGGCGUGCCUAACACAUGCAAGUCGAACGAACAGACGAGGAGCUUGCUCCUCUCACGUUUGCGGAGGACGGGUGAGAAACACGAGUAUAACCCACCUAUCUGACUGGGAUAACUACGGGAAACGGGAGCUAAUACCGGAUAAUAUAUUGAACCGUAGGGUUGAAUAGAAAAAGACGGUGUUGCUGUCACGUAUAGAUGGAUCCGAGCUGCAUUAGCGGGUUGGUACGGUAACGGCUUAUCAAGGGAACGAUGCGUAGGCGAGCUGAGGGGGUGAUCGGCCACACGGGAACUGGGACACGGUCAAGACUCCUACGGGAGGCAGCAGUAGGGAAUCUUCCGCAAUGGGCGAAAGCCUGACGGAGCAACGCCGCGUGAGUGAUGAAGGUCUUCGGAUCGUAAAACUCUGUUAUUAGGGAAGAACAAAUGUGUAAGUAACUAUGCACGUCUUGACGGUACCUAAUCAGAAAGCCACGGCUAACUACGUG
RNAcentral lists this ribosomal RNA (497 nucleotides) under uncultured bacterium. Its description in RNAcentral is "partial 16S ribosomal RNA". It matches the Rfam family "Bacterial small subunit ribosomal RNA", at positions 28 to 507 of the family's 1533-position model. The record is from RNAcentral.